Long non-coding RNA from Acanthochromis polyacanthus (spiny chromis), 5871 nucleotides. RefSeq lists it as uncharacterized. Lineage: Eukaryota; Metazoa; Chordata; Actinopteri; Pomacentridae. The record is from RefSeq and is a predicted model, not a curated record. The transcript has 5 exons.
CAAAACAACUGCCAGCAGGAACGCCGCCACAUCGAUGGAGUGGUACUGGAUUGUGGACAUCUUGUAAGACUCUGUCCUUAGGUGGGCCGCUCCUUUGUGCCUCAUGACAAACUCGAUCCAGAACAUGGCCUGGUCCAGCGGCUUCAUGGGCUGAUCUCGGUGCAGGCUAGACAGAACCUUCAUCUUCUCCCUGUAGGAUGGUUGGUACAGGACCUCCUUCAGCGCCUCCAGGAAGUUGUCUUUGUUCACCGUCGCCAAGUCCAGGACUUUGGCCACACCUCUGGCUUUCAUCCUGAAGAAGUUGUCGGGUUGGUCGAACAUGAGCGGCAGUCCCACCAGGGGGACGCCAUGGUAGAUGGCCUCCUGCAUGCCAUUUGUGCCUCCGUGUGCCACGAACACCCUGGUUUUGGGGUGACCCAGGAGGUCGUUCUGGGGCAACCAUUCCACCAUUAAGGUGUUGUUUCCCAGCGUGGACGGUCUUUUGCCUUUGUGCCUCCAGAUCACCUUCUGGGGAAGCUGUGCGAAGGCAGCAGCGAUGUCCUCUGUUAUGUCCUCAGGAAGUUUUUCCACCAGGGUCCCCAGCGUCAUCACGAUGACUCCGUGUUCACCGGAACUCUGAACGAAAUCCUCCAGUUCUUUGGGCAAGGGCUUGGCGGGUUUGCACUGGAAUCCCGACAUGUAGACGAUGUUGGGCAUGGUGGGUCGCGGCCACUCGAAGGUGAAGUCAUUCCUCAUGAGCCAGAUGUCGGCCGACUGGAACAGCUCCAUGUAGUGGACGUCCGGGCCAAAGUGGCGAUGGACAAACGGGGUGUAGUUUGGGUCUGUGACAUACCAAAAUUGAAAACUUGUGAGGAAGUAGAUCAACAUGUUCUGGACCCGCUCGGUGAAAGUCAUUUUGUCAGUCAAUUCUGACCAGGGCAUUGGGACAUAGGAUAGUGGAGUAGGUGCGAUUGCUUGAUGCCCUUCACCCUGAACAGUCCAUCUUACAUUAAGGACGAGUGGAAGACCCAAACGGUGAGCCAGAAAAACUCCUCCACCGUAUGUAGGGUCCGUCAGGACCAAAUCGUACUUGGCAUCACGGAGGCUCUGCAUCAGUUUGUCGUCUGCAAACACUUCCUCCGUCAUUACAAGCAGCAGCCUGUGCAGUGCGUGCAACUCAUUCACCAUUUCAAUGUCCAGAGCCAUACGAGUCCAAAAUGAUGCCCCUCGCCGUCGCAGCGCCAGUGUUCUCGUUACAUAUUCGUCCAAGUUGUCCUUAUCAAGACCAGACGCAACAUUCAGUGUGAUGGACUUGUAGUGAGGAGAAUCCUGCCUGAUGAACCAGGCAUCUGGUGGACGUAUCACAGUGACUUCAUGACCUCUGGAGUUAAGCUCCUCGACGAGGACAUUCAUGUUGAUCCAGUGACUUCCAUCCACAGGGAACACCAAGACCUUCCCUCCAUUCACCAAAGCUGCAGAGCAGAGCAGCGCUGCAAGCACCACGAAAGUGGGUCGGUACAUUUCUGAAAUAGAUUCUGACAAGAUAUAUAAGAAUGUUAGAUCUGUCCUUUUCAACAAGGGACUUGAGUUCAAGAAUGUUCAUAAGUUCCACAAACAAUGAGCACUCUGAGAUGUGUCUGAUAUUGUACCCAGAGCCUGAUUGUUUAGUCAGGGCAAUGAACUCAUAUUCAGCUUUCUAACUGACUUUUUAACUAAACAUACAAAAUAAUUUUUUCCAUAGAACAUCCUGCUCCUCCCUGGUACAGCAACACCUUGUUUGAGGUCUUUUCAUUCUUCUGGUAAUUACCCACCGUUUGACACAUUUGUAUAGCACCUUCCUAGUGCCACAUUUGGCACAACCUAAUUGUUUCAGACAAUAUGAGCCCAUUGAAUGAUUUAUCAUUUCAGUGUUUCCUCUCCAUUCAUUCAGCAGUGGCAGGCCGCCAUUCCUACAUCGUAACUGCCACUCCUUCAAAUUUAUUUCUUUCUUUUUUUGCUAUUGUCGCAAAUACACCACCGCCACAUGUCUCCACCUUCACAGCAAAGUUCCGCAUUGUGCCGGGUACUCGCGAGUAUUAAGGUAAACCACAGAUAACUAUCUUGCUCAAUAUCUACUUUUGGUACGCCGGCACCAGGCACCAGGUCAGAGAGUCGGAGGAGUGCCGUCUUGCAAAAUAGGACAGCAACUUAACGGAGAAAAACUAUUAGCUGAAGAUCAUUCUUAAUAUAUUUUACAAGUUAAAUACACAUUCCUAAAAUAUUGGUGGCCAGCAAACUUUACGUAACAUAUCGGUAGCUUUAGUUAAUCGGGUCCAGUGCCAACUCAGUGUCGCUAACGUGAGUAAACUAAUUGAUAGCAUUAAGCUAAUAUCUACACACCGUGAUAUAACUGCUGACUGCGUUUUCAGAUGAGCUUGUUCAAAUAUUUUUUUAAAUUUCUUUUUAUAUUCAGCCUUUAAAAAGCUAUUUUCAACUGGCCCUUCAAUAAAUAGGUUGUACAAUUAAAAUCUGCUGUCAAGCGUCAUUGGUUUGCGCAUCACGGCUCCCGAAGACCCUGCCGCCACUGCUUAAAAAAAUCCGAAAGGAAACACUACAUUUCCAUACAUAUGAUCCAGUCAGGAUCUUCUAGAUUCAUGGAGCUCUGCUGCAGUUAAUUUAAUGGGCAAGUCACAAUUUUGCACUUGCAAUGAGGAACCACAUGUGAAGGUCGGAGGGGUCAAUGAAGGCAAAAGUCCCAUGUUGUACCAUACCUAUACGUUAUCUCACAAAAGUGAGUACACCCCUAACAUUUCUGCAAAUAUUUGAUUAUAUCUUUUCUUGGACAACAAUGAAGAAAUUACACUUAUACGAUGUAAAGUGGUCGGUGUACAACUGGUGUGACUGUGUAAAUUUACUGUCCCCUCAAAAUAAGUCAACAUACAGCCGUUAAUGUCUAAACCACUGGCAACAAAAUUGAGUAUUCCCCAAUUGAAAAUGUCCAAACUGUACUAGUGAGUUGAUGACACAAAUGGAGCCCAGUGGACAACAGUCCUUUGCUGUUAUUGUUGCUUCAAACAAUAUGUAUUCAAGAUUUAUGUGUUUAUGGGGGUCGAAGUUCGUUGCACAGUGAAUUAGGACAAACUGGAAUCAUAAAAUACUCAGCUGAGGGCUCGUGCUGUUGAGUUUGUUAGAGCCAAAGAGCAGUUUCUUGAGGUUUAAACUGCGAGUACCGCAAAUAAUGAUGAUAAAUGUGUGGGUUUUGUGGCAUUUUAAAGACUUGAAAAUGCUUUAAAUGCCUUACAAAAAGUUUUGAAAUUGUUGUAAACAAACAUUUGUGCCAGAUUUGAGUUCACCAGCUGCAAUAAACUACACACACUGCACCUUUUCAUGUUUGGUUUGCACUAAGUAACCAGGAUCCUGUGCAAUAAAAUACAUGAAAGGUCAUGUUCUGUCAGUGAAAGCCAAGAAAAGUCUCUCAAAGUCAGACAGUUUUUGCUCUUGUUUUUUUUUAUGGAUUACACCACAAGAAAUCAUUCUGUGAGCUGACAGACGAUCUGACAGCAUGAGAACACGUCAGAAUAUUUAGUGCCAUAAAACGGUGCAAUUAAUUAGUUUUUUGUCGGUACAAACUUUACUCAUCUCAAAUUUUCCAUCACUGUUUUGUUUGCCGCAAUGAUAAAUUUUUUUGUGAAGCAUUUAGAACAUCUUCAAGUAUUUAAAAAGUCCAUAAAACCAACACAAUUUUCAUUUUGUUAGUGCAAGUUUAGUAGUAGAUUAAACUUGUGAAAUCUGCUGCUUUAAUUUCUGAAGCUCGGCUCCUGUCGUUGUCAAUAGGAAAAAUCCGGACUCUGUAGCAUCCAGCUGGUUUCAACUCAUCACAGGCGAGUUAAACACAACAACAGCUUCAGGGAAAGUUGUUAAGCUUCACACACCAGCAGCCUCGUCACAGUUUCUGCUUGUAAAACUCCUGGACUCUCAUAUGUGAACUUACCGUGAGUCUACGGCUGACAGGUCUUCAGACUGAACUCGUAGUUUGAUGUCCAGCCUUCGUCCCUGCAGAGUAUCCGACUGAAGGGUGACGACUCCGAGGAAGCAGGACUUCAGUACAUAUGCACUGAAAUAACACCAGUUCACAACAUGGGUCAUAUCUUGGCCCUUCACAUAGUAACAUUAACCUCAGUUCAACUGAUAAGGUUUUUUUUUAUGGUGUGAUUGGAAGUUAAAGGUAAUCACAGCAUUUAACCAAACAGUGCGCUGCCUCAUGACCUCCAUAACUUCAUUGGCUGACUUUACACGACAAAUAAAUUACAUAUUAAAACAAAUACCCUGAGGUGACGGCGCACUAAUAGAACCUGGCUUAUAAAAAUGACUUAAAAUAAUUCCAACUUUUAAAAACAUCAAAAAACAUCAAAAUUCAGCAUUUUUAAAAGUAGUAAUUAUUUUUUUUAAAGUUUACGACUGUAUGAUUUAAUGUAUUUAAAUCAGCUAUAAACACAAUUAACAGAUAUUUACAGUUGUAUUUACCAUUUUCACCAUUUUUAAAAAUUUGUUAGAUUUUUGUAAAAUUACACAACACAUGCCAUUUGUUACGAAAUGUAUUUUAUUUUGUUUGAAGUAGUUUAUGACAAUAGGAAGAAAAAAUGAUUCCAUAAAACUUCCUGAUUUAUUCCCUGAAGAUUGCACUUGUCACCAGAUUGUAUUUUCACAUUCACAGAUUUGAGAUGGGGCUGAUUAACCUAACCUCUAUAGACGCAAUCAUUAGAAAAUGUCAAAUUUUUGUACAACAAUUUGCACUCACAAUACACAGACAGAUUAUAAUAUCAUUCCUUUUUGACUUUGUUUCGGCCAAAUAACCUUCGCCACAGAAACUUGACUGCAGCAAUAAAAACAGCAAAUAUGAACAAAACAACUGCCAGCAGGAACGCCGCCACAUCGAUGGAGUGGUACUGGAUCAUGGACAUCUUGUAAGACUCUGUCCUUAGGUGGGCCGCUCCUUUGUGCCUCAUGACGAACUCGAUCCAGAACAUGGCCCGGUCCAGCGGCUUCAUGGGCUGAUCUCGGUGCAGGCUGGACAGAACCUUCAUCUUCUCCCUGUAGGACGGUUGGUACAGGACCUCCUUCAGCGCCUCCAGGAAGUUGUCUUUGUUCACUGUCGCCAAGUGCAGGACUUUUGCCACACCUCUGGCUUUCAUCCUGAAGACAUUGUAGGGUUGGUCGAACAUGAGCGGCAGUCCGACCACAGGGACGCCGUGGUAGAUGGCCUCCUGCAUGCCGUUGGUGCCUCCGUGGGCCACAAACACUCUGGUUUUGGGGUGACCCAGGAGGUCGUUCUGGGGCAACCAGUCCAUCAUUAAGGUGUUGUUUCCCAGCGUGGACGGUCUUUUGCCUUUGUGCCUCCAGAUCACCUUCUGGGGAAGCUGCGUGAAUGCAGCAGCAAUGUCCUCGGUGAUGUCCUCUGGAAGUUUUUCCACCAGGGUCCCCAGUGUCAUCACGAUGACUCCAUGUUCACCGGAACUCUGAACGAAAUCCUCCAGUUCUUUGGGCAGGGACUUGGCGGGUUUGCACUGGAAUCCUGACAUGUAGACGAUGUUGGGCAUGGUGGGUCGCGGCCACUCGAAGGUGAAGUCAUUCCUCAUGAGCCAGAUGUCGGCCGACUGGAACAGCUCCAUGUAGUGAAUGUCCGGGCCAAAGUGGCGAUGGACGAACGGCUUGUAGUUUGAGUCUGUGGUAUACCAAAUCUGAAAAUGGCUGAAGAAAUAGAUCAACAUGUUCUGGACCCGCUCAGUGAAAGUCAUCUUGUCAGUCAACUCUGACCAGGGUAUGGGGACGUAGGAUAGUGGACUAGGUGCAAUUGCUUGAUGCCCUUCACCCUGGACAGUCCAUCUCACAUUAAGGACUAGUGGAAGACCCAAA